RNAcentral lists this ribosomal RNA (669 nucleotides) under uncultured bacterium. RNAcentral describes it as "bacterial SSU rRNA". It matches the Rfam family "Bacterial small subunit ribosomal RNA", at positions 51 to 700 of the family's 1533-position model. The record is from RNAcentral.
ACACAUGCAGUCGAGCGGCAGCGACAACAUUGAACCUUCGGGGGAUUUGUUGGGCGGCGAGCGGCGGACGGGUGAGUAAUGCCUGGGAAAUCGCCCUGAUGUGGAGGAUAACCAUUGGAAACGAUGGCUAAUACCGCAUGAUAGCUUCGGCUCAAAGAGGGGGACCUUCGGGCCUCUCGCGUCAGGAUAUGCCCAGGUGGGAUUAGCUAGUUGGUGAGGUAAGGGCUCACCAAGGCGACGAUCCCUAGCUGGUCUGAGAGGAUGAUCAGCCACACUGGAACUGAGACACGGUCCAGACUCCUACGGGAGGCAGCAGUGGGGAAUAUUGCACAAUGGGCGCAAGCCUGAUGCAGCCAUGCCGCGUGUAUGAAGAAGGCCUUCGGGUUGUAAAGUACUUUCAGCAGUGAGGAAGGGAGUAUCGUUAAUAGCGGUAUUCUUUGACGUUAGCUGCAGAAGAAGCACCGGCUAACUCCGUGCCAGCAGCCGCGGUAAUACGGAGGGUGCGAGCGUUAAUCGGAAUUACUGGGCGUAAAGCGCAUGCAGGUGGUUUGUUAAGUCAGAUGUGAAAGCCCGGGGCUCAACCUCGGAAUUGCAUUUGAAACUGGCAGGCUAGAGUACUGUAGAGGGGGGUAGAAUUUCACGCGUAGCGGUGAAAUGCGUAGAGAUCUG